This 301-nucleotide ribosomal RNA is filed under the name uncultured bacterium. RNAcentral describes it as "partial 16S ribosomal RNA". It matches the Rfam family "Bacterial small subunit ribosomal RNA", at positions 509 to 808 of the family's 1533-position model. The record is from RNAcentral.
CAGUAGCACGGGAAUACGAGGGGGGCAAGCGUUGUUCGGAAUUAUUGGGCGUAAAGGGUGCGUAGGCGGCUUGACAAGUCUUGUGUGAAAUCUAUGGGCUCAACCCAUAGUCUGCACGGGAAACUGUCGGGCUUGAGAAUGGGAGAGGUGAGUGGAAUUUCCGGUGUAGCGGUGAAAUGCGUAGAUAUCGGAAGGAACACCUGUGGCGAAAGCGGCUCACUGGACCAUUUCUGACGCUGAUGCACGAAAGCUAGGGGAGCAAACAGGAUUAGAUACCCGGGUAGUCCCUGUCUCUUAUACC